AGAUAAUUAUAAUUUGUAUGUAGAACAACAAAAACAUAUGUGGACAAAUUUGCUUAUCUUUUUGAAUCGUUUACCGUCCACAUAAACAAACUACCAGUUAUGUAAAAUAAAUCAUCCAUAGCGCAUAAAAACUGGUAUCUUGUUAUUUUUCAA
Molecule: small RNA, 153 nt
Filed under: Arabidopsis thaliana (thale cress)
Lineage: Eukaryota; Viridiplantae; Streptophyta; Magnoliopsida; Brassicales; Brassicaceae
Description: ATSL120310
Source: RNAcentral